Molecule: long non-coding RNA, 773 nt
Filed under: Coturnix japonica (Japanese quail)
Lineage: Eukaryota; Metazoa; Chordata; Aves; Galliformes; Phasianidae
Description: lncRNA (ENSCJPG00005007813.1)
Source: RNAcentral
UUGUGAAAAGGCUGUAGGAAUGCAGCCCCAGCUAUCAACUGGAAUCAACACUCGCAUUUCAAGGCAGGAGAGAAAGAAGUGAAAGAAAUGGAACAAAGAGAAUCCAAAGUCAGAGACACAGAGCAGUUUCCUGAGUAGAGCUCCCCUGGGAUUCUGGAGCCAUCAUCCUGACACACCAGGUGACCCCUUGCAUUCAAAGCCAAGCCUCUCACCUGUCCUCUUUGAAGCCUGGACCAGGAAGAAUGAAGAACAGGACAAAGCUUGCAGAACAAAAUUAUGUGAGAACAGCGGGUCGAUGCCAUUGAAAACUGCGGAUGCACUGAUGCCCAGAGCCACCCACAUGUCCUGAAACCUGAUGCAUAGAGCAAAAGAAAGUAAGUGGCCAGUUGAUCCUGAAGAAAGGAGGCCAGAAAAGUGAAUGUAAUACCACAGCAUUUGUUUUUCCAAACACAGAUUAUAUUUGUGAAAUAAUGCUGAACACAUUCUGUAAAAAGAGUAAUCUCAGCAAUCAGAUGGCAUAACUCUGUAAUGAAACCCUGUGCUCUUUAGGAACUGGGAAUGAUACAAAAAAUGCUGGUAUGACAAUCCAUGGUAUCUCAGACCAAUGAAAGACUAGGUCUGUAGGAUGCAAACCAAGGGCAUGGUUUUAGAAUGGCUCUUACACUGACAUUACACCUAGCUUCACAGUUGCUAAAUGUUCUCAUUUAUUGUGGAAGCAAGGGGAAAGCAUAGGACUUCACAGUGUUCAGUGUGUGACAUAACUGGUUAUGCAC